UAUCACUGCAGCGAAGUUUGGCAGGUUUUCUCGGAAUUUAACUUGAAGUUUUCCAUUCCUCCACAAAUGCGUCGGUAUCUCGGGUAUCUACAUCAAACGCACAUUCCCCGCACCCCUUUGCAAUCGAAUGAUAAUAUUCCCUGUGAGAACAUGUCUCCUUAGACGUGCAGCAAAUCAGAACAAACACAAUUGUUAGCCAGCGGGCUAGUCAGCCUCUUACCAUCUAGGCCCCAAACGACGCUCAACGCAGUGGGACAGGUUGGUAAAAUUACCGCACCUUCUAAACCAGCAGAUACGGGACAUCAAUAUAUAUAUACACACCCACACACACAUAUAUAUAUAUAUACAGAUUCCCAUCCAGCCCAGGAUGUCAAAGGCCAAAGGGGUGAUGCAGGCAGACUUGUCCCAGCACUGCCCGAUGCGUGGCGUUCCCUGGACGAGCCAACCGAAGCCUUCUGGAAAAGCUUAGCCGCCUAAACAGAAGAAACAAACGCACUGU
RNAcentral lists this small RNA (499 nucleotides) under Histoplasma ohiense. RNAcentral's name for it is "hypothetical lncRNA". The record is from RNAcentral. Lineage: Eukaryota; Fungi; Ascomycota; Eurotiomycetes; Onygenales; Ajellomycetaceae.